UUAAGCGACUAAGCGUACACGGUGGAUGCCCUGGCAGUCAGAGGCGAUGAAGGACGUGCUAAUCUGCGAUAAGCGUCGGUAAGGUGAUAUGAACCGUUAUAACCGGCGAUUUCCGAAUGGGGAAACCCAGUGUGAUUCGUCACACUAUCAUUAACUGAAUCCAUAGGUUAAUGAGGCGAACCGGGGGAACUGAAACAUCUAAGUACCCCGAGGAAAAGAAAUCAACCGAGAUUCCCCCAGUAGCGGCGAGCGAACGGGGAGCAGCCCAGAGCCUGAAUCAGUGUGUGUGUUAGUGGAAGCGUCUGGAAAGGCGCGCGAUACAGGGUGACAGCCCCGUACACAAAAAUGCACAUGCUGUGAGCUCGAUGAGUAGGGCGGGACACGUGGUAUCCUGUCUGAAUAUGGGGGGACCAUCCUCCAAGGCUAAAUACUCCUGACUGACCGAUAGUGAACCAGUACCGUGAGGGAAAGGCGAAAAGAACCCCGGCGAGGGGAGUGAAAAAGAACCUGAAACCGUGUACGUACAAGCAGUGGGAGCACAGAGCAAUCUGUGUGACUGCGUACCUUUUGUAUAAUGGGUCAGCGACUUAUAUUCUGUAGCAAGGUUAACCGAAUAGGGGAGCCGAAGGGAAACCGAGUCUUAACUGGGCGUUAAGUUGCAGGGUAUAGACCCGAAACCCGGUGAUCUAGCCAUGGGCAGGUUGAAGGUUGGGUAACACUAACUGGAGGACCGAACCGACUAAUGUUGAAAAAUUAGCGGAUGACUUGUGGCUGGGGGUGAAAGGCCAAUCAAACCGGGAGAUAGCUGGUUCUCCCCGAAAGCUAUUUAGGUAGCGCCUCGUGAAUUCAUCUCCGGGGGUAGAGCACUGUUUCGGCAAGGGGGUCAUCCCGACUUACCAACCCGAUGCAAACUACGAAUACCGGAGAAUGUUAUCACGGGAGACACACGGCGGGUGCUAACGUCCGUCGUGAAGAGGGAAACAACCCAGACCGCCAGCUAAGGUCCCAAAGUCAUGGUUAAGUGGGAAACGAUGUGGGAAGGCCCAGACAGCCAGGAUGUUGGCUUAGAAGCAGCCAUCAUUUAAAGAAAGCGUAAUAGCUCACUGGUCGAGUCGGCCUGCGCGGAAGAUGUAACGGGGCUAAACCAUGCACCGAAGCUGCGGCAGCGACGCUGAUGCGUUGUUGGGUAGGGGAGCGUUCUGUAAGCCUGCGAAGGUGUGCUGUGAGGCAUGCUGGAGGUAUCAGAAGUGCGAAUGCUGACAUAAGUAACGAUAAAGCGGGUGAAAAGCCCGCUCGCCGGAAGACCAAGGGUUCCUGUCCAACGUUAAUCGGGGCAGGGUGAGUCGACCCCUAAGGCGAGGCCGAAAGGCGUAGUCGAUGGGAAACAGGUUAAUAUUCCUGUACUUGGUGUUACUGCGAAGGGGGGACGGAGAAGGCUAUGUUGGCCGGGCGACGGUUGUCCCGGUUUAAGCGUGUAGGCUGGUUUUCCAGGCAAAUCCGGAAAAUCAAGGCUGAGGCGUGAUGACGAGGCACUACGGUGCUGAAGCAACAAAUGCCCUGCUUCCAGGAAAAGCCUCUAAGCAUCAGGUAACAUCAAAUCGUACCCCAAACCGACACAGGUGGUCAGGUAGAGAAUACCAAGGCGCUUGAGAGAACUCGGGUGAAGGAACUAGGCAAAAUGGUGCCGUAACUUCGGGAGAAGGCACGCUGAUAUGUAGGUGAAGUCCCUCGCGGAUGGAGCUGAAAUCAGUCGAAGAUACCAGCUGGCUGCAACUGUUUAUUAAAAACACAGCACUGUGCAAACACGAAAGUGGACGUAUACGGUGUGACGCCUGCCCGGUGCCGGAAGGUUAAUUGAUGGGGUUAGCGCAAGCGAAGCUCUUGAUCGAAGCCCCGGUAAACGGCGGCCGUAACUAUAACGGUCCUAAGGUAGCGAAAUUCCUUGUCGGGUAAGUUCCGACCUGCACGAAUGGCGUAAUGAUGGCCAGGCUGUCUCCACCCGAGACUCAGUGAAAUUGAACUCGCUGUGAAGAUGCAGUGUACCCGCGGCAAGACGGAAAGACCCCGUGAACCUUUACUAUAGCUUGACACUGAACAUUGAGCCUUGAUGUGUAGGAUAGGUGGGAGGCUUUGAAGUGUGGACGCCAGUCUGCAUGGAGCCGACCUUGAAAUACCACCCUUUAAUGUUUGAUGUUCUAACGUGGACCCGUAAUCCGGGUUGCGGACAGUGUCUGGUGGGUAGUUUGACUGGGGCGGUCUCCUCCUAAAGAGUAACGGAGGAGCACGAAGGUUGGCUAAUCCUGGUCGGACAUCAGGAGGUUAGUGCAAUGGCAUAAGCCAGCUUGACUGCGAGCGUGACGGCGCGAGCAGGUGCGAAAGCAGGUCAUAGUGAUCCGGUGGUUCUGAAUGGAAGGGCCAUCGCUCAACGGAUAAAAGGUACUCCGGGGAUAACAGGCUGAUACCGCCCAAGAGUUCAUAUCGACGGCGGUGUUUGGCACCUCGAUGUCGGCUCAUCACAUCCUGGGGCUGAAGUAGGUCCCAAGGGUAUGGCUGUUCGCCAUUUAAAGUGGUACGCGAGCUGGGUUUAGAACGUCGUGAGACAGUUCGGUCCCUAUCUGCCGUGGGCGCUGGAGAAUUGAGGGGGGCUGCUCCUAGUACGAGAGGACCGGAGUGGACGCAUCACUGGUGUUCGGGUUGUCAUGCCAAUGGCACUGCCCGGUAGCUAAAUGCGGAAGAGAUAAGUGCUGAAAGCAUCUAAGCACGAAACUUGCCCCGAGAUGAGUUCUCCCUGACUCCUUGAGAGUCCUGAAGGAACGUUGAAGACGACGACGUUGAUAGGCCGGGUGUGUAAGCGCAGCGAUGCGUUGAGCUAACCGGUACUAAUGAACCGUGAGGCUUAACCUU
RNAcentral lists this ribosomal RNA (2904 nucleotides) under Escherichia coli. RNAcentral's name for it is "bacterial LSU rRNA". It matches the Rfam family "Bacterial large subunit ribosomal RNA". Lineage: Bacteria; Pseudomonadati; Pseudomonadota; Gammaproteobacteria; Enterobacterales; Enterobacteriaceae. The record is from RNAcentral.